GAUGAACGCUGGCGGCGUGCUUAACACAUGCAAGUCGAACGAUGAAGCCCAGCUUGCUGGGUGGAUUAGUGGCGAACGGGUGAGUAACACGUGAGUAACCUGCCCUUAACUCUGGGAUAAGCCUGGGAAACUGGGUCUAAUACCGGAUAGGAGCGUCCACCGCAUGGUGGGUGUUGGAAAGAUUUAUCGGUUUUGGAUGGACUCGCGGCCUAUCAGCUUGUUGGUGAGGUAAUGGCUCACCAAGGCGACGACGGGUAGCCGGCCUGAGAGGGUGACCGGCCACACUGGGACUGAGACACGGCCCAGACUCCUACGGGAGGCAGCAGUGGGGAAUAUUGCACAAUGGGCGCAAGCCUGAUGCAGCGACGCCGCGUGAGGGAUGACGGCCUUCGGGUUGUAAACCUCUUUCAGUAGGGAAGAAGCGAAAGUGACGGUACCUGCAGAAGAAGCACCGGCUAACUACGUGCCAGCAGCCGCGGUAAUACGUAGGGUGCGAGCGUUAUCCGGAAUUAUUGGGCGUAAAGAGCUCGUAGGCGGUUUGUCGCGUCUGUCGUGAAAGUCCGGGGCUUAACCCCGGAUCUGCGGUGGGUACGGGCAGACUAGAGUGCAGUAGGGGAGACUGGAAUUCCUGGUGUAGCGGUGGAAUGCGCAGAUAUCAGGAGGAACACCGAUGGCGAAGGCAGGUCUCUGGGCUGUAACUGACGCUGAGGAGCGAAAGCAUGGGGAGCGAACAGGAUUAGAUACCCUGGUAGUCCAUGCCGUAAACGUUGGCACUAGGUGUGGGGACCAUUCCACGGUUUCCGCGCCGCAGCUAACGCAUUAAGUGCCCCGCCUGGGGAGUACGGCCGCAAGGCUAAAACUCAAAGGAAUUGACGGGGGCCCGCACAAGCGGCGGAGCAUGCGGAUUAAUUCGAUGCAACGCGAAGAACCUUACCAAGGCUUGACAUGUUCUCGAUCGCCGUAGAGAUACGGUUUCCCCUUUGGGGCGGGUUCACAGGUGGUGCAUGGUUGUCGUCAGCUCGUGUCGUGAGAUGUUGGGUUAAGUCCCGCAACGAGCGCAACCCUCGUUCCAUGUUGCCAGCACGUAAUGGUGGGGACUCAUGGGAGACUGCCGGGGUCAACUCGGAGGAAGGUGAGGACGACGUCAAAUCAUCAUGCCCCUUAUGUCUUGGGCUUCACGCAUGCUACAAUGGCCGGUACAAUGGGUUGCGAUACUGUGAGGUGGAGCUAAUCCCAAAAGGCCGGUCUCAGUUCGGAUUGGGGUCUGCAACUCGACCCCAUGAAGUCGGAGUCGCUAGUAAUCGCAGAUCAGCAACGCUGCGGUGAAUACGUUCCCGGGCCU
This 1342-nucleotide ribosomal RNA is filed under the name uncultured bacterium. RNAcentral describes it as "bacterial SSU rRNA". It matches the Rfam family "Bacterial small subunit ribosomal RNA", at positions 28 to 1381 of the family's 1533-position model. The record is from RNAcentral.